ACAGGCCUGAGCGUCGCACGCUUUGCGUAGAUGAGGGAUGGCGCAGGCGCAGGCCUGCGCGCCACGCGCUUUACGUAGAUGAGGGCUGGCGCAGGCGUAGAUGAGGGCUGGCGCAGGCGCAGGCCUGCGCGCCUCACGCUUUAUGUACAUGAGGGAUGACGCAGGCACAGGAAUUGGCACAACCUGAAGUCAGCUCUGCAGCUUUCCAAGCUUCGUUCUGUGUGUCCUGUACUCAACAGUCAUCUCAUGCUGCAGGGUGGCUGCGUGUGCUCCGUACAUCACACCCAUAUUUCAGGUAGGGACGGUUCCCGGAGGGUGCUCAGCACCAUGCCGACUACUGCUGGCUGGCACGUUCGCACGUGGCCAUGUCAGCUCCAAGGAGGAUGCUGACAUCCUGCUGGCUGGCACGUUCGCACGUGUCCAUGUUAGCUGCGAGGGCCAUGCCGACAUCCUGCUGGCUGGCACUUCCACAGGUGGCCAUGUUAGCUGAGAGGGCGAUGCCAACAUCUUGCUGGCUGGCACGUUUGCACGUGGCCAUGUUAGCUGCGAGGACAAUGCUUCUGCAACUUUCGGUUUCUCCCUUUUCAUCCUCCCACCCUUGACUGUUUUUCCCUGGGAGCAAAUGCCUAAUAAAUUACCUGCACUCAAAUCUUUG
RNAcentral lists this long non-coding RNA (655 nucleotides) under Pan troglodytes (chimpanzee). Its description in RNAcentral is "lincRNA". Lineage: Eukaryota; Metazoa; Chordata; Mammalia; Primates; Hominidae. The record is from RNAcentral.